This 253-nucleotide unclassified non-coding RNA is filed under the name uncultured Flavobacteriaceae bacterium. Its description in RNAcentral is "contains 16S-23S intergenic spacer region". It matches the Rfam family "Bacterial small subunit ribosomal RNA", at positions 524 to 776 of the family's 1533-position model. Lineage: Bacteria; Pseudomonadati; Bacteroidota; Flavobacteriia; Flavobacteriales; Flavobacteriaceae. The record is from RNAcentral.
UACGGAGGAUCCAAGCGUUAUCCGGAAUCAUUGGGUUUAAAGGGUCCGUAGGCGGUUUUAUAAGUCAGUGGUGAAAUCCGGCAGCUCAACUGUCGAACUGCCAUUGAUACUGUAGAACUUGGAUUAUUGUGAAGUAACUAGAAUAUGUAGUGUAGCGGUGAAAUGCUUAGAUAUUACAUGGAAUACCAAUUGCGAAGGCAGGUUACUAACAACACAUUGACGCUGAUGGACGACAGCGUGGGGAGCGAACAGG